UCUAAGGGUAGUGAGCGGGCUGCUUUUUAAGUAAAAUGUUCAGUGAAUACGUUCUGGUAAAAUACCGGCUCCAUGUGAUAAAAGCACCUUUUACCUUCUCACCUGGAAAGCUUUGAAUUGUGUUUAUUUUAGAAACAUCUGCGAAAAUAUCGGUUACUGGUGCUACUUCUCAUUAACAUGCAUAAUUAGGUUCCUUUUGAAAACGUCUUAGGACCUAUGCAUAACAGUAACUAGUUCCAUAAGUUAAAUCGUUCACUAAGGGUAAUUAGAAGAACACAUUAGUUUCACUUGUGUGGAAUGCUAGUCACCGGUGUUAAGUAUUAUUCCCCAAAUUUUAUAUAGGUAUCUAGAGUGUGAACUUUGUUAGUAAUAUUCAGUAGGGAACAUAGAGAAAAUCAUAAAUGCCUAAAAUAAUAGGUUAUCAUAGACAUAUUGGCAAGCUGAUGAUGCAAAUAUGCGACUAAAAAUGAAUCAUACAAAAUCCAUAGCAGAAGCUACAUGUAAAAUGCCCUAUUUGCCAUCAUUUAUGUGGCACUUAGGUUUCAUAGAACACUUUGGCAAUUCAUACAAGUAUGUCAUAGAAUUUAUUAGAAAAUUGUAUUCUGCUCUUCCAAAAACAGCACGCAGCUCAGCAGACUGGCAGGCAUGAAAGGGGCUGAAUUCCUAGAAACAGGGUGGAGAUCAACCUAAAGGAGCAGACUUUGCCAAAGAAAGCAACUUCAGCAUAGUGCUCUCUUCCAAGAGCUAGCAGAAGCUGAAAGAGGAGGGCAGGUUCAGUAUGUGCCACCAUUUAGAUACACUGUGUCAAGCUCCUUAAUUUUGGCACAUUCUGAUCUGUUACCUCAAUGCUACUCCUUGUAAUUCAUAGAAAACACAAGGUGUGGGAGUUACAAAUGUGUAGGCUUACUGAUUCUCUACCACACACCACGUUUUGUACAAUUGGCACCAUUUUCUGUAGUAGUGUACUCCAUUUUCAUGCAGUCAUAAUUCCAGUCCAUAAUUCCUAAAGAUGCCAUAUUUAUUACCUGAGUGCAGGACUAGAUCUUAUUACUGGAUGUACAAGUCCUGAAAUUGUGGUUCUCGUCUGCAACCUAGAAGAUCUGGAUUUUAUUCCUAGUUCACAACCUGAGCAAUCAUUUGUUAAUAUUCCAUAUUUUCAGGUAUUUACUGGUAAUGACAGGGGUAACAGAAGUCACAGGCAGAGUGGGAAUCUAAGUAAAUGAGUGUUCAGAUUUGGACUGCCCUACUCAAAAGCAUAAACAAGCCUCAGCCUAUCAAAAAUGGAAAUGGGGCACUAACCUGCCAAAUACAGGGAAAUGAAUAAAUGGAAGAACAAUAAAAGUCAGUAAAGUAGGAAAUCUCA
Long non-coding RNA from Neopsephotus bourkii (Bourke's parrot), 1363 nucleotides. RefSeq lists it as uncharacterized. The transcript has 2 exons. The record is from RefSeq and is a predicted model, not a curated record. Lineage: Eukaryota; Metazoa; Chordata; Aves; Psittaciformes; Psittacidae.